Molecule: ribosomal RNA, 1222 nt
Filed under: Clostridioides difficile
Lineage: Bacteria; Bacillati; Bacillota; Clostridia; Peptostreptococcales; Peptostreptococcaceae
Description: bacterial LSU rRNA
Rfam family: Bacterial large subunit ribosomal RNA
Source: RNAcentral
AGCGAGAGAACUGUUGUUAAGGAACUCGGCAAAAUGACCCCGUAACUUAGGGAUAAGGGGUGCCACCAUCAGGUGGCCGCAGAGAAUAGGCCCAAGCGACUGUUUACCAAAAACAUAGGUUUCUGCUAAGUCGCAAGACGAUGUAUAGGAGCUGACGCCUGCCCGGUGCUGGAAGGUUAAGGGGAUCUGUUAGAGCAAUCGAAGCAGUGAACUUAAGCCCCAGUAAACGGCGGCCGUAACUAUAACGGUCCUAAGGUAGCGAAAUUCCUUGUCGGGUAAGUUCCGACCCGCACGAAAGGCGUAACGAUUUGGGCACUGUCUCAACAACAGACUCGGUGAAAUUGUAAUUCCGGUGAAGAUGCCGGAUACCUGCGACAGGACGGAAAGACCCCAUGGAGCUUUACUGUAGCUUGACAUUGGGUCUUGGUACUACAUGUACAGGAUAGGUGGGAGGCUUUGAAACCAGGACGCCAGUUUUGGCGGAGCCAUCCUUGGGAUACCACCCUUGUAGUACUGGGACUCUAACCAUAGGCCAUGAAUCUGGUCUUGGGACACUGUCAGGUGGGCAGUUUGACUGGGGCGGUCGCCUCCCAAAAGGUAACGGAGGCGCUCAAAGGUUCUCUCAGUACGGUCGGAAAUCGUACGUAGAGUGUAAAGGCAAAAGAGAGCUUGAUUGCAAGACAUACAGGUCGAGCAAGGAUGAAAAUCGGACUUAGUGAUCCGGUGGUUCUGCGUGGAAGGGCCAUCGCUCAACGGAUAAAAGCUACCCUGGGGAUAACAGGCUUAUCUCCCCCAAGAGUCCACAUCGACGGGGAGGUUUGGCACCUCGAUGUCGGCUCAUCACAUCCUGGGGCUGUAGUAGGUCCCAAGGGUUGGGCUGUUCGCCCAUUAAAGUGGUACGCGAGCUGGGUUCAGAACGUCGUGAGACAGUUCGGUCCCUAUCCGUCGCAGGCGUAGGAAAUUUGAGAAGACCUGUCCUUAGUACGAGAGGACCGGGAUGGACGUACCUCUGGUGUACCAGUUGUCCUGCCAAGGGCAUGGCUGGGUAGCUAUGUACGGAAUGGAUAAGCGCUGAAAGCAUCUAAGCGCGAAGCCAACUUCAAGAUAAGAUUUCCCACCGCAAGGGUAAGACCCCAGAAAGACUAUCUGGUUGAUAGGUCGAAGGUGUAAGUGCAGCAAUGUAUUUAGCUUAUCGAUACUAAUAGGUCGAGGACUUGACCAA